GGGCCCGCACAAGCAGCGGAGCAUGUGGUUUAAUUCGAAGCAACGCGAAGAACCUUACCUAGACUUGACAUCUCCUGAAUUAAUCGUAAUGGAUGAAAUCCCUUCGGGGACAGGAAGACAGGUGGUGCAUGGUUGUCGUCAGCUCGUGUCGUGAGAUGUUGGGUUAAGUCCCGCAACGAGCGCAACCCUUAUCAUUAGUUGCUAACAUUUAGUUGAGCACUCUAAUGAGACUGCCCGGGUUAACCGGGAGGAAGGUGGGGAUGACGUCAAAUCAUCAUGCCCCUUAUGUCUAGGGCUACACACGUGCUACAAUGGUGGGAACAAAGAGAUGCAAUACCGCAAGGUGGAGCCAAACUCCAAAACCCAUCCCAGUUCGGAUUGUAGGCUGAAACUCGCCUACAUGAAGCUGGAGUUGCUAGUAAUCGCGAAUCAGAAUGUCGCGGUGAAUACGUUCCCGGGCCUUGUACACACCGCCCGUCACACCAUGAGAGUCGGCAACACCCGAAGCCCGUGAGGUAACCUUUUGGAACCAGCGGUCGAAGGUGGGGUUGAUGAUUGGGGUGAAGUCGUAACAAGGUAGCCGUAGGAGAACCUGCGGCU
Molecule: ribosomal RNA, 600 nt
Filed under: uncultured Clostridium sp.
Lineage: Bacteria; Bacillati; Bacillota; Clostridia; Eubacteriales; Clostridiaceae
Description: bacterial SSU rRNA
Rfam family: Bacterial small subunit ribosomal RNA
Source: RNAcentral